AGUCGAGCGGAAAGGCCACUUCGGUGGUACUCGAGCGGCGAACGGGUGAGUAACACGUGGGUAAUCUGCCUCUGGCUUCGGGAUAGCCACCGGAAACGGUGAUUAAUACCGGAUAUGACGCAUCACUGCAUGGUGUGUGUGUGGAAAGUUUUUUCGGCCAGGGAUGUGCUCGCGGCCUAUCAGCUUGUUGGUGGGGUAAUGGCCUACCAAGGCUUCGACGGGUAGCCGGCCUGAGAGGGUGACCGGCCACACUGGGACUGAGACACGGCCCAGACUCCUACGGGAGGCAGCAGUGGGGAAUAUUGGACAAUGGGCGGAAGCCUGAUCCAGCAACGCCGCGUGAGGGAUGACGGCCUUCGGGUUGUAAACCUCUUUCAGCACAGACGAAGCGCAAGUGACGGUAUGUGCAGAAGAAGGACCGGCCAACUACGUGCCAGCAGCCGCGGUAAUACGUAGGGUCCGAGCGUUGUCCGGAAUUAUUGGGCGUAAAGGGCUCGUAGGCGGUUUGUCGCGUCGGGAGUGAAAACACCGGGCUUAACUCGGUGCUUGCUUUCGAUACGGGCAGACUAGAGGCAUUCAGGGGAGAACGGAAUUCCUGGUGUAGCGGUGAAAUGCGCAGAUAUCAGGAGGAACACCGGUGGCGAAGGCGGUUCUCUGGGAAUGUCCUGACGCUGAGGAGCGAAAGUGUGGGGAGCGAACAGGAUUAGAUACCCUGGUAGUCCACACCGUAAACGUUGGGCGCUAGGUGUGGGAUCCAUUCCACGGGUUUCCGUGCCGCAGCUAACGCAUUAAGCGCCCCGCCUGGGG
This 807-nucleotide ribosomal RNA is filed under the name uncultured Nocardioides sp. RNAcentral's name for it is "bacterial SSU rRNA". It matches the Rfam family "Bacterial small subunit ribosomal RNA", at positions 60 to 878 of the family's 1533-position model. Lineage: Bacteria; Bacillati; Actinomycetota; Actinomycetes; Propionibacteriales; Nocardioidaceae. The record is from RNAcentral.